RNAcentral lists this ribosomal RNA (413 nucleotides) under uncultured bacterium. RNAcentral describes it as "bacterial SSU rRNA". It matches the Rfam family "Bacterial small subunit ribosomal RNA", at positions 917 to 1333 of the family's 1533-position model. The record is from RNAcentral.
GGGCCCGCACAAGCGGUGGAGCAUGUGGUUUAAUUCGAUGAUACGCGAGGAACCUUACCAGGGCUUAAAUGUAAGUUGCAUUAGUUAGAGAUAGCUAUUUCUUCGGACUACUUACAAGGUGCUGCAUGGUUGUCGUCAGCUCGUGCCGUGAGGUGUCAGGUUAAGUCCUAUAACGAGCGCAACCCCUGUUGUUAGUUGCCAUCGAGUCAUGUCGGGAACUCUAACAAGACUGCCGGUGCAAACCGUGAGGAAGGUGGGGAUGACGUCAAAUCAUCACGGCCCUUACGUCCUGGGCUACACACGUGCUACAAUGGUCGGUACAGAAAGCAGCCACUAUGCGAAUAGGAGCGAAUCUAUAAAACCGGUCUCAGUUCGGAUCGGAGUCUGCAACUCGACUCCGUGAAGCUGGAAUC